AAGUCGUAACAAGGUUUCCGUAGGUGAACCUGCGGAAGGAUCAUCAUUGAAUCUAUAUUCUACAAACACUUGUGAACAAUGGCCAUUCGCCCGCGGUGAGUGCGCCAUGCAUGCUUAUGUGUCUGAUGUUGGCAGAGUCUGUGUACGUGCACGAGCCGGUAUGGCUUUGCACUGCAGCCCGCCAAUACCAUGACCCUCAAUACAAACACUGUUUACAACCACCAAACUAAUACAAUUUAUAUGCAAUAUAUAAAACAACUUUCAACAAUGGAUCUCUUGGCUCUC
This 285-nucleotide unclassified non-coding RNA is filed under the name fungal sp. RNAcentral describes it as "partial internal transcribed spacer region". The stretch from base 1 to 46 matches the Rfam family "Eukaryotic small subunit ribosomal RNA", at positions 1786 to 1831 of the family's 1831-position model. The record is from RNAcentral. Lineage: Eukaryota; Fungi.